UAUACAUUUUUUAGGGAUCGCAAAUCAAUCGAAAGUUUUUGCAAUAUAGAAAUGUCUCACUAUGCGAAGCUAUCUUCCAUACGAAAUGAGUUGGACAGAUAUACACAGAAACUUGAAAGAGAACUACUUUUUGAAGAAACAUGUACUUUCAUAGCACAACAAAUUCAACCUCGAAAAGAUGUAUGUUACACGAAUGUAAGUACAUCAUUGGAUCCAAUCGCACAAGAGGUACUGAAUCGUCUCAGAGAGAAGCAUCCGAACCAUUCGAUAUUCUCCACGUCUGAAGAAACUUUUUCUUAUUGGAAAACCAACAAUAUCAAAGAUAAUCAUUGGGACCAAACAGAAAGUAUGCAGAUUAUGGAUACACUUCAGGAAUAUAUAUUUGACACUUUGAACUUUCGAGUAUGUAUCCUCGUACCCGAAGAUAUCAAAUGUUUCUGUAUAGAUUAUGUUUUACAAAGUAAAGUUGGUGAAGAUAUCAUUGUAUAUACAAUAUUUCAUAGCGUGGCUAGAAAACUUGGUCUACGUUGCGAUCUAAUAGAUAUUUGGUCUGCCUGCUGUAUAUUUUGGAAACCAGAAUUCGUCACGAAUAAUUUAGAAAAUGCAAGAUGUUUUUUCAUAAAAGACGAGAAAUUCCCGAAUUGUCUUCAUGAUUGUCUACAAGAAUACAAGUCUCAUAACACAUAUAAAGACGUCAACAAAAUAGAAACUGAACAGAUGUUCUACAAGAUAAGAACUUUAGUUGGAAGGUUUAUAAUGGGACAUAAAAUAAUCAAAUUGGGAUUAGUCAAAGUGCAUUGUAAUGUGCUAAUAACAUACCCGCACUAACAUAAUCACAUGUUAGUAUAUAAUAUAAACAAUUGUAAAAAUAAAGAACUUUGUGAGGGUCUUGCAGAUAACAAUCAAUUUACAGAUAGUUGAGCCAACAUAAUGAACGGAUGUUUUUGACAUAUACUAUAUACAUAUAUUUUCGACUUUUAUAUUAUAGAUAUAAAUAUUAUGCCCUAUUUUUGUAUGCAAUGUCAAGUGAAAAUCAACGCGAUGAAUGAAAUAUAUUUAUUAUUCUCUCUGCUAUAA
Non-coding RNA from Nylanderia fulva, 1077 nucleotides. The record is from RefSeq and is a predicted model, not a curated record. Lineage: Eukaryota; Metazoa; Arthropoda; Insecta; Hymenoptera; Formicidae.